UUAAGCGACUAAGCGUACACGGUGGAUGCCCUGGCAGUCAGAGGCGAUGAAGGGCGUGCUAAUCUGCGAUAAGCGCCGGUAAGGUGAUAUGAACCGUUAUAACCGGCGAUACCCGAAUGGGGAAACCCAGUGUGAUUCGUCACACUAUCAUUAACUGAAUCCAUAGGUUAAUGAGGCGAACCGGGGGAACUGAAACAUCUAAGUACCCCGAGGAAAAGAAAUCAACCGAGAUUCCCCCAGUAGCGGCGAGCGAACGGGGAGGAGCCCAGAGCCUGAAUCAGCAUGUGUGUUAGUGGAAGCGUCUGGAAAGGCGCGCGAUACAGGGUGACAGCCCCGUACACAAAAGCGCAUGUGCUGUGAGCUCGAUGAGUAGGGCGGGACACGUGGUAUCCUGUCUGAAUAUGGGGGGACCAUCCUCCAAGGCUAAAUACUCCUGACUGACCGAUAGUGAACCAGUACCGUGAGGGAAAGGCGAAAAGAACCCCGGCGAGGGGAGUGAAAAAGAACCUGAAACCGUGUACGUACAAGCAGUGGGAGCACAGGUUUACCUGUGUGACUGCGUACCUUUUGUAUAAUGGGUCAGCGACUUAUAUUCUGUAGCAAGGUUAACCGAAUAGGGGAGCCGGAGGGAAACCGAGUCUUAAUUGGGCGUUAAGUUGCAGGGUAUAGACCCGAAACCCGGUGAUCUAGCCAUGGGCAGGUUGAAGGUUGGGUAACACUAACUGGAGGACCGAACCGACUAAUGUUGAAAAAUUAGCGGAUGACCUGUGGCUGGGGGUGAAAGGCCAAUCAAACCGGGAGAUAGCUGGUUCUCCCCGAAAGCUAUUUAGGUAGCGCCUCGUGAAUUCAUCUCCGGGGGUAGAGCACUGUUUCGGCUAGGGGGCCAUCCCGGCUUACCAACCCGAUGCAAACUGCGAAUACCGGAGAAUGUUAUCACGGGAGACACACGGCGGGUGCUAACGUCCGUCGUGAAGAGGGAAACAACCCAGACCGCCAGCUAAGGUCCCAAAGUCAUGGUUAAGUGGGAAACGAUGUGGGAAGGCCCAGACAGCCAGGAUGUUGGCUUAGAAGCAGCCAUCAUUUAAAGAAAGCGUAAUAGCUCACUGGUCGAGUCGGCCUGCGCGGAAGAUGUAACGGGGCUAAACCAUGCACCGAAGCUGCGGCAGCGACGCUUAUGCGUUGUUGGGUAGGGGAGCGUUCUGUAAGCCUGUGAAGGUGGCCUGUGAGGGUUGCUGGAGGUAUCAGAAGUGCGAAUGCUGACAUAAGUAACGAUAAAGCGGGUGAAAAGCCCGCUCGCCGGAAGACCAAGGGUUCCUGUCCAACGUUAAUCGGGGCAGGGUGAGUCGACCCCUAAGGCGAGGCCGAAAGGCGUAGUCGAUGGGAAACGGGUUAAUAUUCCCGUACUUGGUGUUACUGCGAAGGGGGGACGGAGAAGGCUAUGUUGGCCGGGCGACGGUUGUCCCGGUUUAAGCGUGUAGGUGUGUGUUCCAGGUAAAUCCGGUUCACUUUAACACUGAGGCGUGAUGACGAGGCACUACGGUGCUGAAGUAACAAAUGCCCUGCUUCCAGGAAAAGCCUCUAAGCAUCAGGUAACAUCAAAUCGUACCCCAAACCGACACAGGUGGUCAGGUAGAGAAUACCAAGGCGCUUGAGAGAACUCGGGUGAAGGAACUAGGCAAAAUGGUGCCGUAACUUCGGGAGAAGGCACGCUGACACGUAGGUGAAGUGAUUUACUCAUGGAGCUGAAGUCAGUCGAAGAUACCAGCUGGCUGCAACUGUUUAUUAAAAACACAGCACUGUGCAAACACGAAAGUGGACGUAUACGGUGUGACGCCUGCCCGGUGCCGGAAGGUUAAUUGAUGGGGUCAGCGCAAGCGAAGCUCCUGAUCGAAGCCCCGGUAAACGGCGGCCGUAACUAUAACGGUCCUAAGGUAGCGAAAUUCCUUGUCGGGUAAGUUCCGACCUGCACGAAUGGCGUAAUGAUGGCCAGGCUGUCUCCACCCGAGACUCAGUGAAAUUGAACUCGCUGUGAAGAUGCAGUGUACCCGCGGCAAGACGGAAAGACCCCGUGAACCUUUACUAUAGCUUGACACUGAACAUUGAGCCUUGAUGUGUAGGAUAGGUGGGAGGCUUUGAAGCGUGGACGCCAGUCUGCGUGGAGCCGACCUUGAAAUACCACCCUUUAAUGUUUGAUGUUCUAACGUGGACCCGUGAUCCGGGUUGCGGACAGUGUCUGGUGGGUAGUUUGACUGGGGCGGUCUCCUCCUAAAGAGUAACGGAGGAGCACGAAGGUUGGCUAAUCCUGGUCGGACAUCAGGAGGUUAGUGCAAUGGCAUAAGCCAGCUUGACUGCGAGCGUGACGGCGCGAGCAGGUGCGAAAGCAGGUCAUAGUGAUCCGGUGGUUCUGAAUGGAAGGGCCAUCGCUCAACGGAUAAAAGGUACUCCGGGGAUAACAGGCUGAUACCGCCCAAGAGUUCAUAUCGACGGCGGUGUUUGGCACCUCGAUGUCGGCUCAUCACAUCCUGGGGCUGAAGUAGGUCCCAAGGGUAUGGCUGUUCGCCAUUUAAAGUGGUACGCGAGCUGGGUUUAGAACGUCGUGAGACAGUUCGGUCCCUAUCUGCCGUGGGCGCUGGAGAACUGAGGGGGGCUGCUCCUAGUACGAGAGGACCGGAGUGGACGCAUCACUGGUGUUCGGGUUGUCAUGCCAAUGGCACUGCCCGGUAGCUAAAUGCGGAAGAGAUAAGUGCUGAAAGCAUCUAAGCACGAAACUUGCCCCGAGAUGAGUUCUCCCUGAGACUUAAAGUCUCCUGAAGGAACGUUGAAGACGACGACGUUGAUAGGCCGGGUGUGUAAGCGCAGCGAUGCGUUGAGCUAACCGGUACUAAUGAACCGUGAGGCUUAACCCU
Molecule: ribosomal RNA, 2906 nt
Filed under: Salmonella enterica subsp. enterica serovar Enteritidis
Lineage: Bacteria; Pseudomonadati; Pseudomonadota; Gammaproteobacteria; Enterobacterales; Enterobacteriaceae
Description: bacterial LSU rRNA
Rfam family: Bacterial large subunit ribosomal RNA
Source: RNAcentral